CUGGGGAGUACGACCGCAAGGUUGAAACUCAAAGGAAUGACGGGCCCGCACAAGCGGUGGAGCAUGUGGUUUAAUUCGAAGCACGCGAGAACCUUACCAGGUCUUGACAUCCUUUGACCACUCUGGAGACAGAGCUUUCCCUUCGGGGACAAGUGACAGGUGGUGCAUGGUUGUCGUCAGCUCGUGUCGUGAGAUGUUGGGUUAGUCCCGCAACGAGCGCAACCCUUGAUUUUAGUUGCCAGCAUUUAGUUGGGCACUCUAAAGUGACUGCCGGUGCAAGCCGGAGGAAGGUGGGGAUGACGUCAAAUCAUCAUGCCCCUUAUGACCUGGGCUACACACGUGCUACAAUGGAUAGUACAAGGUCGCGAAGCCGCGAGGUGGAGCUAAUCCCAUAAAACUAUUCUCAGUUCGGAUUGUAGGCUGCAACUCGCCUACAUGAAGCCGGAAUCGCUAGUAAUCGUGGAUCAGCAUGCCACGGUGAAUACGUUCCCGGGCCUUGUACACACCGCCCGUCACACCACGAGAGUUUGUAACACCCGAAGUCGGUAGGGUAACCUUUAUGGAGCCAGCCGCCGAAGGUGGGACAGAUAAUUGGGGUGAAGUCGUAACAAGGUAGCCGUAUCGGAAGGUGCGGCUGGAUCACCUCCUUUCUAAGGAA
This 658-nucleotide ribosomal RNA is filed under the name Listeria monocytogenes. Its description in RNAcentral is "bacterial SSU rRNA". It matches the Rfam family "Bacterial small subunit ribosomal RNA", at positions 873 to 1533 of the family's 1533-position model. The record is from RNAcentral. Lineage: Bacteria; Bacillati; Bacillota; Bacilli; Caryophanales; Listeriaceae.